This 301-nucleotide ribosomal RNA is filed under the name uncultured bacterium. Its description in RNAcentral is "partial 16S ribosomal RNA". It matches the Rfam family "Bacterial small subunit ribosomal RNA", at positions 509 to 808 of the family's 1533-position model. The record is from RNAcentral.
CAGCAGCCGCGUAAUACGUAGGUGGCAAGCGUUGUCCGGAAUUAUUGGGCGUAAAGGGCUCGCAGGCGGUUUCUUAAGUCUGAUGUGAAAGCCCCCGGCUCAACCGGGGAGGGUCAUUGGAAACUGGGAAACUUGAGUGCAGAAGAGGAGAGUGGAAUUCCACGUGUAGCGGUGAAAUGCGUAGAGAUGUGGAGGAACACCAGUGGCGAAGGCGACUCUCUGGUCUGUAACUGACGCUGAGGAGCGAAAGCGUGGGGAGCGAACAGGAUUAGAUACCCCAGUAGUCCCUGUCUCUUAUACA